RNAcentral lists this ribosomal RNA (253 nucleotides) under uncultured bacterium. RNAcentral's name for it is "partial 16S ribosomal RNA". It matches the Rfam family "Bacterial small subunit ribosomal RNA", at positions 524 to 776 of the family's 1533-position model. The record is from RNAcentral.
UACGUAGGGGGCUAGCGUUGUCCGGAAUCAUUGGGCGUAAAGCGCGUGUAGGCGGUCCGGUAAGUCCGCUGUGAAAGUCGAGGGCUCAACCCUCGAAUGCCGGUGGAUACUGUCGGGCUAGAGUGCGGAAGAGGCGAGUGGAAUUCCUGGUGUAGCGGUGAAAUGCGUAGAUAUCAGGAAGAACACCAGUGGCGAAGGCGCUCUACUGGGCCGUAACUGACACUGAGGGACGAAAGCUAGGGGAGCGAAUGGG